RNAcentral lists this long non-coding RNA (1016 nucleotides) under Ailuropoda melanoleuca (giant panda). Its description in RNAcentral is "lncRNA (ENSAMEG00000027487.1)". The record is from RNAcentral. Lineage: Eukaryota; Metazoa; Chordata; Mammalia; Carnivora; Ursidae.
GGCAGGGAUCCAGGCUGCAAUGUGAAUGGUGCCUGGAGUCCUGCAGUAAAGGCAGCCAGACAGAAGGUGCAUGGAAGCAGUGGGGGAGGUGUUUCGAGGGACCAUGGGAGACUUCACUUUCAUAUCAUUUGCCGUUUCGGCAAACAAGAAUUGCCCAGCAAACGUUGGUUGAGUAACAAUGGAGUAUUUGGGACUUUAAAAUAUCUCUGUCGUUCUUGUUUACUCUUCAGAGUAGCAGAAGCUAUUGAGGCCCGUCUCUAAUAACACUUAGCAGCCCUGUCUUCAGACCUGGGAGGCAUCAUAAGCUCACAUUUCAGUGACAGGUGCAUGUUAGUCUGUAGGGCUGAGCCCCUGUUGUCUGGCAUCGCAGAUGUCUUUGAGCAGUAGGGGAUGGUAGUGACCAUCCAAUUCAAUAGCCUCACCCUGUGAAGGAGGAACUGAGGGCCAGAGGAAGAAAUGACUUCAGAAUCACACAGGAAGAUACUUUUAGAGCCUGGACUAGGAGAUAGGUUGCCUAGCUUGAAUUCAGUCAUAUUUCCACAAAAUAUCUAAAGAAUUGCAAUUGAGUACCAUUUAUUUGUCCUUCCCAGAAGGGGGCAUUGUGCCUGCAACAGUUUAAGUACUUAACUCCAGCUUCUCUGAUGGCAAUCCUGGAAAUCCCAGUGACCUGACACAAUAAAGGUUUAUAUCUUAUCCUCAUCAUGACCCAGUAGGGUGACACAGGGGUGUGGGGGAUUCCAGCUUGUGGCAGAAAGAAUGGAGAAAACACAUUCACUCUUAGCUUCCUUAUCUGGGGAGUGAUGCACAUCCCAUUGGUGAGAACAAUUGCAGAUUGCAUCUAAAUGCAAAGGGGCUGGAAAAUGCAGUUCAGCUGUGUGUCCAGGCAGAUAAAAUGGGUUUAGUGAGCAUCCGACUAGCAUAUGCCACAGUUAUAAUAAGUCAAUGUCAUAGCUGUUAUCCCUGGUUCUAGCAACACAAUGGCAGUCAAUUAAGUAGUUGUCUGGUCUUUACCCUUG